GACGAACGCUGGCGGCGUGCCUAAUACAUGCAAGUCGAGCGGUCCCUUCGGGGAUAGCGGCGGACGGGUGAGUAACACGUAGGCAACCUGCCUGCAAGACCGGGAUAACCUUCGGAAACGGAUGCUAAUACCGGAUACACGAUUUUCCUGCAUGGGAGAAUCGGGAAAGACGGCGCAAGCUGUCACUUGCAGAUGGGCCUGCGGCGCAUUAGCUAGUUGGUGGGGUAACGGCUCACCAAGGCGACGAUGCGUAGCCGACCUGAGAGGGUGAUCGGCCACACUGGGACUGAGACACGGCCCAGACUCCUACGGGAGGCAGCAGUAGGGAAUCUUCCGCAAUGGACGAAAGUCUGACGGGCAACGCCGCGUGAGUGAGGAAGGCCUUCGGGUCGUAAAGCUCUGUUGCCAGGGAAGAACGUCGAAGAGAGUAACUGCUCUUCGAAUGACGGUACCUGAGAAGAAAGCCCCGGCUAACUACGUGCCAGCAGCCGCCGUAAAAC
RNAcentral lists this ribosomal RNA (500 nucleotides) under uncultured bacterium. RNAcentral's name for it is "bacterial SSU rRNA". It matches the Rfam family "Bacterial small subunit ribosomal RNA", at positions 28 to 526 of the family's 1533-position model. The record is from RNAcentral.